Molecule: transfer RNA, 72 nt
Filed under: Actinomycetota bacterium
Lineage: Bacteria; Bacillati; Actinomycetota
Description: tRNA-Ala
Rfam family: tRNA
About the family: Transfer RNA (tRNA) molecules are approximately 80 nucleotides in length. Their secondary structure includes four short double-helical elements and three loops (D, anti-codon, and T loops).
Source: RNAcentral
GGGGGCGUGGUGACAAUGGGAACACGCCGCCUUUGCAAGGCGGAGAUGAGGGUUCAAUUCCCUCCGCCUCCA